UACGGAGUUACAAAGGACGACAUUAGACGAAUCAUCUGGAAAGAUGAAUCAAAGAAGGUAAUAAUCCUGUAGUCGAAAAUGUUGUCUCUCUUGAGUGGAUCCUGAGUACGACGGAGCACGUGAAAUUCCGUCGGAAUCUGGGAGGACCAUCUCCUAAGGCUAAAUACUCUCUAGUGACCGAUAGUGAACCAGUACCGUGAGGGAAAGGUGAAAAGCACCCCGGAAGGGGAGUGAAACAGAACCUGAAACCGUGUGCUUACAAGUAGUCAGAGCCCGUUAAUGGGUGAUGGCGUGCCUUUUGUAGAAUGAACCGGCGAGUUACGAUUUGAUGCAAGGUUAAGCAGUAAAUGUGGAGCCGUAGCGAAAGCGAGUCUGAAUAGGGCGUUUAGUAUUUGGUCGUAGACCCGAAACCAGGUGAUCUACCCUUGGUCAGGUUGAAGUUCAGGUAACACUGAAUGGAGGACCGAACCGACUUACGUUGAAAAGUGAGCGGAUGAACUGAGGGUAGCGGAGAAAUUCCAAUCGAACCUGGAGAUAGCUGGUUCUCUCCGAAAUAGCUUUAGGGCUAGCCUCAAGUGAUGAUUAUUGGAGGUAGAGCACUGUUUGGACGAGGGGCCCCUCUCGGGUUACCGAAUUCAGACAAACUCCGAAUGCCAAUUAAUUUAACUUGGGAGUCAGAACAUGGGUGAUAAGGUCCGUGUUCGAAAGGGAAACAGCCCAGACCACCAGCUAAGGUCCCAAAAUAUAUGUUAAGUGGAAAAGGAUGUGGCGUUGCCCAGACAACUAGGAUGUUGGCUUAGAAGCAGCCAUCAUUUAAAGAGUGCGUAAUAGCUCACUAGUCGAGUGACACUGCGCCGAAAAUGUACCGGGGCUAAACAUAUUACCGAAGCUGUGGAUUGUCCUUUGGACAAUGGUAGGAGAGCGUUCUAAGGGCGUUGAAGCAUGAUCGUAAGGACAUGUGGAGCGCUUAGAAGUGAGAAUGCCGGUGUGAGUAGCGAAAGACGGGUGAGAAUCCCGUCCACCGAUUGACUAAGGUUUCCAGAGGAAGGCUCGUCCGCUCUGGGUUAGUCGGGUCCUAAGCUGAGGCCGACAGGCGUAGGCGAUGGAUAACAGGUUGAUAUUCCUGUACCACCUAUAAUCGUUUUAAUCGAUGGGGGGACGCAGUAGGAUAGGCGAAGCGUGCGAUUGGAUUGCACGUCUAAGCAGUAAGGCUGAGUAUUAGGCAAAUCCGGUACUCGUUAAGGCUGAGCUGUGAUGGGGAGAAGACAUUGUGUCUUCGAGUCGUUGAUUUCACACUGCCGAGAAAAGCCUCUAGAUAGAAAAUAGGUGCCCGUACCGCAAACCGACACAGGUAGUCAAGAUGAGAAUUCUAAGGUGAGCGAGCGAACUCUCGUUAAGGAACUCGGCAAAAUGACCCCGUAACUUCGGGAGAAGGGGUGCUCUUUAGGGUUAACGCCCAGAAGAGCCGCAGUGAAUAGGCCCAAGCGACUGUUUAUCAAAAACACAGGUCUCUGCUAAACCGUAAGGUGAUGUAUAGGGGCUGACGCCUGCCCGGUGCUGGAAGGUUAAGAGGAGUGGUUAGCUUCUGCGAAGCUACGAAUCGAAGCCCCAGUAAACGGCGGCCGUAACUAUAACGGUCCUAAGGUAGCGAAAUUCCUUGUCGGGUAAGUUCCGACCCGCACGAAAGGCGUAACGAUUUGGGCACUGUCUCAACGAGAGACUCGGUGAAAUCAUAGUACCUGUGAAGAUGCAGGUUACCCGCGACAGGACGGAAAGACCCCGUGGAGCUUUACUGUAGCCUGAUAUUGAAAUUCGGCACAGCUUGUACAGGAUAGGUAGGAGCCUUUGAAACGUGAGCGCUAGCUUACGUGGAGGCGCUGGUGGGAUACUACCCUAGCUGUGUUGGCUUUCUAACCCGCACCACUUAUCGUGGUGGGAGACAGUGUCAGGCGGGCAGUUUGACUGGGGCGGUCGCCUCCUAAAAGGUAACGGAGGCGCUCAAAGGUUCCCUCAGAAUGGUUGGAAAUCAUUCAUAGAGUGUAAAGGCAUAAGGGAGCUUGACUGCGAGACCUACAAGUCGAGCAGGGUCGAAAGACGGACUUAGUGAUCCGGUGGUUCCGCAUGGAAGGGCCAUCGCUCAACGGAUAAAAGCUACCCCGGGGAUAACAGGCUUAUCUCCCCCAAGAGUUCACAUCGACGGGGAGGUUUGGCACCUCGAUGUCGGCUCAUCGCAUCCUGGGGCUGUAGUCGGUCCCAAGGGUUGGGCUGUUCGCCCAUUAAAGCGGUACGCGAGCUGGGUUCAGAACGUCGUGAGACAGUUCGGUCCCUAUCCGUCGUGGGCGUAGGAAAUUUGAGAGGAGCUGUCCUUAGUACGAGAGGACCGGGAUGGACAUACCUCUGGUGUACCAGUUGUCGUGCCAACGGCAUAGCUGGGUAGCUAUGUGUGGACGGGAUAAGUGCUGAAAGCAUCUAAGCAUGAAGCCCCCCUCAAGAUGAGAUUUCCCAACUUCGGUUAUAAGAUCCCUCAAAGAUGAUGAGGUUAAUAGGUUCGAGGUGGAAGCAUGGUGACAUGUGGAGCUGACGAAUACUAAUCGAUCGAAGACUUAAUCAA
RNAcentral lists this ribosomal RNA (2611 nucleotides) under Staphylococcus aureus VET0465R. RNAcentral's name for it is "bacterial LSU rRNA". It matches the Rfam family "Bacterial large subunit ribosomal RNA", at positions 309 to 2925 of the family's 2925-position model. The record is from RNAcentral. Lineage: Bacteria; Bacillati; Bacillota; Bacilli; Caryophanales; Staphylococcaceae.